RNAcentral lists this ribosomal RNA (253 nucleotides) under uncultured bacterium. Its description in RNAcentral is "partial 16S ribosomal RNA". It matches the Rfam family "Bacterial small subunit ribosomal RNA", at positions 524 to 776 of the family's 1533-position model. The record is from RNAcentral.
UACAGAGGUCCCGAGCGUUGUUCGGAUUCACUGGGCGUAAAGGGUGCGUAGGCGGCGCAGUAAGUUGGGUGUGAAAUCCCUCGGCUUAACCGAGGAAUUGCGCCCAAAACUACUGUGCUCGAGGGAGGUAGAGGUGAGCGGAACUUAGGGUGGAGCGGUGAAAUGCGUUGAUAUCCUAAGGAACACCGGUGGCGAAAGCGGCUCACUGGACCUCUCCUGACGCUGAGGCACGAAAGCUAGGGUAGCAAACGGG